AGCCUGGGAUGCUGAAAUCAGGCUGCUUCCUGUCUGUCUUUACAGGACACUGGCCUGCAUACUAAGAAAUUCCUGGAUCUCCCCUGGAUCCUGACCAUCAUGUGCCCAGAGAAAUUUGUAACAUUGUUGUUUUGAAAUAUGUAAUGACACACACCUUUCACUUUCCUGAUGUGGGUGAAGUGUGGAUCCCAGUGAUGAUUUCUUCUUCAAGAAAUAUACAUCCUAGUUCCCAUGUCCAACGAUGAGAGACCCUGAAUGUGUGUGACCUGUGCCUCCUGGGAGACCAGCCGUAAACUCAUCUGAACCUGACCAAGUUCUGUCUACAUGGUAGAUUUAGACCUCUCUAAGUCCUGUCUACACUGAUUAUGUUUCUGAGACUGUGCGCUUUCUGCAGUGAGGACAUUUAGGCCUGACCUUGUACUCUGUGCAUUGGGACAUGGGGACUCGGGUGGAGGCCUGGCCUGGCCUCUGUCUGGGAAACUCCGUGCCUGCGUCUGAACGUCAGCGCUCAGAUGUCUGGGGUCUGGGGCUGAGGUGGGCUUCUCUGGGUGUCUGUGCUCUCCUCUGAGUGGGGUUCCAUGUCCCUCCCGGGGGUCAGUGCUGCGGUCGUGCUCCUAGUCUGUCCCCCGCCAGGUUCAUCUUCCUGGGGCUCCUGGAGACCCCUCAGGUGGGCUACCUGGUAAUCAUUCCAAUUUUCCAGCACAUUCAGGUUGAGUAGGGAAGCUGGUGCACCUGGUGAAUUGAUUCCAGGGCACAGGAAUCAGGCAAAAAGUCAAUGGGCAGCAGGUGAGGUUGCUGCUGUGCUCUCCUUCCGGUCGACUCUCUCCUCCGAAGAGAACAGAGCUGCUCCUCGUCUUUCAGUCCAGCUCUUCUGUGUUUUCUCAGCAACUCAGCAGGACAAGAAAGACAGAGCCUGCCAGAACCAAGGACAAGCAUUGCGGCAAGGGAGGCAGGUUCACCUGGUGAAUUGAUUCC
RNAcentral lists this long non-coding RNA (975 nucleotides) under Bos indicus x Bos taurus (hybrid cattle). RNAcentral's name for it is "lncRNA (ENSBIXG00005005935.1)". The record is from RNAcentral. Lineage: Eukaryota; Metazoa; Chordata; Mammalia; Artiodactyla; Bovidae.